AAAUAGCCUUUAUUUAUUUGAUAAUUUAUGCAAAUAAAUAUAUAUUUUUUAGAAAUGAAAUAUAUUUCUUUUGUAGAAAGGAUACUCUUGACACAUGUCUAUUUUUACUCCAGAUGUCAAUUACCUAAUGUCAGGUGGUAGAUUUGUGUAUUUUUUUUUUCUGGAAUGCAUACACAUAGUCUUCAAUUUAAUUUUUUGGUAUCAAAGAGAAGCUCAUAUUUAGCUCGAUCUCUCUCUAUCUCUUUCCCUUUCUUCUCUUCCCCCCUUUAUGCGCCACAGGUCCCUAUGGUUUUGCUUCAUCUGGUUUGGUCUUCAAGGUGAUAUUGGAAGCAGAAGUGUUGUUGAUGCAUUUUUCUUGGAAAAAGCUCUAACAGAAGCCUUAAAAGAGAGCAUUGAAUAAACUGUUGGGAGGUUUUGAGUACAGUUGGACGACAACAAUCUGAGCAACAAAAGCAAAUACAGGAGUUCCAGAUGCAGAAUAGAUGAUGAAUUUAUUGAUUCAUCAGCCUGACUUAUGGCAACUGUGUUUGGGGAAAUUACUGAAUCAUUGCUCUCAUGCAAUGCUACAACAUUAAUGAAUGCUAAAAUUAAGGCAAGUAACAACAUUUCUAAUGAAUAUUUUGAACUCGAUGACAACAAAGAGAUAAUAACAGCUUACAUCAAGGCAGUAAAAUAAGAUUCAAGUGAAGAAUGGAAAUUUAACAUCACUUCAUUCCUUAAUACAACUUCAAUCUCAAAUGAAGAAUCAAUCUCCAAUACUUUAAGUUCCCAUCCGAAUCCAACAAAAACCUACUGCUGAUGAUCAAAAGAAGAAACAUAAAGCUACUUAUGAAGAUUUUGAUGGAGAUGAAGAGAACCACAAGGCUUCUAAUGAAGAUCAGAUACAUUAGAAAGGUUGCAACCAACUCUUCUUAUAAAUAGCCUUACUCUUUCAAAAGUUUCAGGACUACUAAAGAUAGAAUAGAUAUGUAAAUAGGCCACCACUUUUGAAUUUACUAUCUUGCUGAAACACUUGUAAUUGGCUUCCACUUUUGAAAGUUCCAUCACUACUAAAUAGAAUAGAUAUAUAAAUAAAUAGGCCCCAAUUUCAGAACAUGUAAAUAACUUAUACUUUUGAAAGUUAUGUGAAAUUGUAUCACUACUAAAGUGUAGUAAGAAUGGAUAUGUAAGUAGGCCACAACUUUGGAACACUUGUAAAUAGGCAUACUUUUCAAGGUUACAUCACUACUAAAGAUGGAACAAGUAUGUAAAUAAGCCACAACUUUGAAAACUACUGUCGUGCUGGAAUAUAAAUUU
Molecule: long non-coding RNA, 1296 nt
Organism: Cannabis sativa
Lineage: Eukaryota; Viridiplantae; Streptophyta; Magnoliopsida; Rosales; Cannabaceae
Exons: 4
Source: RefSeq, a predicted model, not a curated record